This 159-nucleotide signal recognition particle RNA is filed under the name Chlorocebus sabaeus (green monkey). Its description in RNAcentral is "Metazoan signal recognition particle RNA". It matches the Rfam family "Metazoan signal recognition particle RNA". Rfam says of the family: The signal recognition particle (SRP) is a universally conserved ribonucleoprotein. Lineage: Eukaryota; Metazoa; Chordata; Mammalia; Primates; Cercopithecidae. The record is from Rfam by way of RNAcentral.
GCUGGGCAUGGUGGCACAUGUCUGUGAUCCCAUCUACUCAGGAAGCUGAGAUGGGAGGAUCGCUUGAGCCCGGGAGCUCUAGGCUGUGGUGCACUAUGAUUGCACCAGUUAACAGCCACUGCACUUCAGCCUGGGCAACAUAGCGAGUCCCCGUCUCUA